UACAGAGGUCCCAAGCGUUGUUCGGAUUCACUGGGCGUAAAGGGUGCGUAGGCGGUCGGGUAAGUCUGAUGUGAAAUCUCACAGCUUAACUGUGAAACUGCAUUGGAUACUAUCCGGCUCGAGGAAUGGAGGGGAGACUGGAAUACUUGGUGUAGCAGUGAAAUGCGUAGAUAUCAAGUGGAACACCAGUGGCGAAGGCGAGUCUCUGGACAUUUACUGACGCUGAGGCACGAAAGCUAGGGGAGCAAACGGG
This 253-nucleotide ribosomal RNA is filed under the name uncultured bacterium. Its description in RNAcentral is "partial 16S ribosomal RNA". It matches the Rfam family "Bacterial small subunit ribosomal RNA", at positions 524 to 776 of the family's 1533-position model. The record is from RNAcentral.